Molecule: ribosomal RNA, 455 nt
Filed under: uncultured bacterium
Lineage: Bacteria
Description: bacterial SSU rRNA
Rfam family: Bacterial small subunit ribosomal RNA
Source: RNAcentral
UACGGAAGGCAGCAGUGGGGAAUAUUGCACAAUGGGCGCAAGCCUGAUGCAGCCAUGCCGCGUGUAUGAAGAAGGCCUUCGGGUUGUAAAGUACUUUCAGUCGUGAGGAAGGUGUUAAGGUUAAUAACCUUAGCAAUUGACGUUAGCGACAGAAGAAGCACCGGCUAACUCCGUGCCAGUAGCCGCGGUAAUACGGAGGGUGCGAGCGUUAAUCGGAAUUACUGGGCUAAAGGGCACGCAGGCGGUUAAUUAAGUUGGAUGUGAAAUCCCCGGGCUUAACCUGGGAAUGGCAUUCAAGACUGGUUAGCUAGAGUCUUGUAGAGGGGGUAGAAUUCCAUGUGUAGCGGUGAAAUGCGUAGAGAUGUGGAGGAAUACCGGUGGCGAAGGCGGCCCCUGGACAAAGACUGACGCUCAUGUGCGAAAGCGUGGGGAGCAAACAGGGAUUAGAUACCCGU